GAUCAUCCUCUUAAGAAAAAUGAAAUACUUGAUAUCUUCUAUAAUGGACUAACCGAUGCUUCUAGGGACUUCCUAGAUAGUUGUGCUGGUUGUGUUUUCAGGGAGCGGACUGUUGGGCAAACUGAAGAAUUAUUGAAUAACAUAUUGAAAAAUUAUGAUGAUUGGACUCUUCCUGAACCACCGGCUAAACCCACUCCGAAGAAGAGGGGUAUAUUAUAUCUCAGUCCUGAAGAUAUGCAAGAGGCAAAUAAAUUUAUGAAGGAAAAUGUAUUAAAGCUGAGGAUGUUAAAAAUUUACCUCCUAUUGAAGAAAUACAUGGGCUUAAUACACCAUCACGGCCUAAGGUGGUAG
This 351-nucleotide ribosomal RNA is filed under the name Triticum aestivum (bread wheat). RNAcentral describes it as "partial small subunit ribosomal RNA". The record is from RNAcentral. Lineage: Eukaryota; Viridiplantae; Streptophyta; Magnoliopsida; Poales; Poaceae.